AUACAGUGAAUUUGUGCUAUCCAGUAUGAAUGAGCAUUAUGGUAUGCAUCAAUUUUGUACUAUAUCAGUUUAAAACAAUUAGGACAAAAUAUAAAAUAAUAUACUCUAGAGGCAUGCUGAUAAAGGUAGGUUGAAUACAGUUUUAUCAUUUAUUGCAGUGGCAAUAAAUCAGCUUGAUAUAUCUUAUUAUAAUAAUUAUAUAGAAUUGUUACUUAACAGAAAAUUUCCCUUGUGGCACAGCAGGUUAAGGAUUCAGCAUUGUUACUGCAGUGCCUUGGAUUCUUGCUCUGGUGUGCGUUUGAUCCCUGGCCCAGGAACUUCUAUAUAUUGCGGCCAUGGCCAAAAAAAAAAAGUUCUCAACCUUAGCACUACUAACAUUUUGGGCCAGUUGACUAUCUCUGUCUGGAGGAUGUCCUAUGAAUCGUAGGAUGUUUAGCAACAUCCUGCCUGGAUUCUAUCUAUAUAAUACCAGCAGGCGCCCUCUCAGUUGUGACAAUUAAAAAUGCUCCCAGACAUUGUCAGAUAUUUCCUAGUGAAUGAGAAGGGUAUUAUAGCAUCACCCCGCUUGAGAAUUACUGCUGUAAAAUGUGGGAAAUAUCUCAAAUGGAUCAAAUAAUUUAUAAUCCCUUCUUUAUCUUCCACAUAUUUUUCUUCCAUUCACAUCAACAAUUUUUUUUUACUGUAGUGUUUAUGUUAAUUUUCAGUGGUAAUAACCUUUUUUCUUUUUUUUAAUCUUUACCCUUCCUGAUUAAUUUUGUAAAUAAAGAAUCCUGAAGUUAUAUAUGAGAAAAUAUCUUCUCAUAAACAACUUUAAAAGACUUGCCUGCUAAUUGAUAUUUUUCCAUAAGUGCUUUUGUUGUGGUUGGAGGGUUCAUGUUAUUGCUGUCUGUUCAUUUUUUAUCUUGUGGUGUCUGGCUUAUUUUGGGCCACAAAGAAUUGGUUGGUUGAUGUUGCUUUGGAACCUGCAAUGAAGGUGGUAUUCUUAACACACAGAUUCAGAAUGAGAUGCUCUUCCAGAAGUUCAAGUAUCAGAUCUGAAUGUUCUGGUCAUCCACCAAUAUCUGGUAAUAGAUGAUUCUUGAAUACCUGAACUCCCUUACUGAAUGUAUUUUUCUAAAUGAUCUAAAUAAAUGGAUUUCUACCAACUUUUAUGUAAUAUGCUUAAAUAAUAAAUAAUAACAUGUGAUCACAGAGUAAAAGUUUUCAACUGAAAAUUAAUAUGUUAAUUUUCAUCUGUAUUUUUGUUUCAGCUUAUUUUGAAAGUUUUAAGGUAAAACACCUUACCAUUUGUACUUAUACCGUUAUGAGGCAUUUAUUUUAAAUUCUUACCAUAGUUUAUCUGGCUAAAAAAAUGUAAUAGAAUGCCAAGCAUAUAUAUAAAACCUAUAAAUAGAUAUGACUCAGAAACAUUUACUUGAAUAAUCUAAAAAUACCUUUUGUUGCCACACAUACACAUAGGUAAUUAUACACACAAACAAUCACUUAAUUUAAAACAAUUGCUGACAGUUAUUGAAUGCUAGGUAUUCAGAACUUUGCAUGCAUUAUCUCAUUUAAUCCUCCCGAAGUAUUCAUGAGAAAAUUGAAAGUUCACUAAAGUUAUAUAAUUUGUACAAGAUCAUAGCUAAAAAGCUUCAGAUGCAGUUUUUGAAACCAGAUAACUUCUGGUUGAGUCUUCUUGCUGAGACAAUAAAAUCUCUAUCUUCAUUUGUGUCUAUGGCCAUACCAUCCUAAACAUGUCCUAUCUAAUCCACCUGCAUUGCUUCAAGACUUAGGUUUACACUUUUUGAUCCCAUAAUCUUUGAUGUGUGCGUGUGUGCGUGUGUGUGUGUGUGUAAAGAAAACAAAACCACAAGGUCUGGCAUAUAGUAAGUACUCAAAAAAAUAUAUGUAUGUGUGUGUAUAUAUAUGUUUUUUUUGAGUACUUACUAUGUGCCAUACUUUGUGUUUUUUGUUUUACUUUUUAUUCUAAAAUAAUUUUACACUUCUAAAUUACAAUUCAAAUACAGAGCAUUCACCUAUUUUUUUGUCCAGAUUCCCCUAAUUUUAUUAAUUUAUAUGACCUAGUAUAAUUAUUAAAAUUAUAAAGAUCAGAAAAUUAACAUUGGUUCAGUACUAUUAACUAUUAACUACCUAUAUCUUUUAUAUGAAUUUUACCAGUUUUUCCAUUAAUGUUCCAUUCUGCUCCAAAAUCAUUCUGAUCCCACAUUACAUUUAGUUGUUGUAGUUCCUUAGUUUUCAACCUGUGGCGUUUCCUCAGUCUUUUCUUCCAUGAACUUGACACUUGAUGCAUACCAGUCGUUUUGUAUGUGCUCUCUCAGUUGGGGUUUGUCUAAUGUUUUCUCAUGGUUUGACUGAAGUUACGUGUUAUUGAGGAGAAUACCACAGAGGUGAUGUACACUUCUGAGGGUAUAUGAUAUCUGUGUUUUUAUAGCUUCUCCACUGUGAAGUUACUCUUUUGCCCUUUUUAAUUAGUAAACAUCUGAGAGGAAAUAUUUUGAUACUAUGCAAAUACCUUGUUUUUCCUCAAAUUUUCACCUACUGCUAUAAGCAUCCUCUUGAUGCACACAUGUAUUUUAAACUUUCUUCUUUGAAUGGUUCUUACAAGAUGGCAAGCCAGUGAUUGUUUUGUGGGUUAUUCACAGAUGUAAAGGCAUUGCCUUCCUUUUAACUUUCAAGCUGAUGGCUGGGAUUCUAAGUAUAUUUGUGCUUAGCAGGUGAAAAUAGUAAAUAAAAUUUGAAUUCAGUUGUAUUUAGCUUGAAAAGAAAAAAUUGAAAAGCCAAUUCUUGUUAAUUCAAGCAUAAAACAAUCUUCAUUCUGGAGUUGCAAAGGCUAGAGUGGAUUUGUUAAAUUUCUUUCAAAUGAAAAGAAGGAUAUGUAUAAGAUGAACAUGGAGUAGUUGACCAAAUUUUGAAUUACUAGAACCAAUAAAUGCUUAUUAAAACAUGAGAAAAAAAAUUUAACUUAAGGCAAUUGUAGGAGUAGAAUACUUAACAUAUAAGAAUAUUCAGCCACCUAAGAGAUCAUACUGGCUAAAAGUAUAUAUCUAAGAUUAAAACAGUUGAAAUAAUAUGUGAAUAAUGUAUAAGUAGAACUUCUAAGGAAAAGACUGCAUAAGGAAGUUUGGUUUUUUUUUUAAAGAGUAAAACAUCUUCACACUUAAAAUAGCAGCAAAAAUAAAAGAGAAAAUUGUACUUCACUGAACCUAAAAAAGGCCCCAACCUCAUAUCCUUAGCUCUAGUUCUAGUUUUUCUUAUUGCUAGGUUUAAAUUUUAUUUUAUCUUUAAACAGUGUUAAAAUAAACUACCGGUACUUUAUUUCUAUGAAAUAGAGUCUCAAAAGUAGAUUGGGAAAUCCAAGUAUAUUUUUAACUUUAAUAAAUAUUUCCAGGAAGAGUAAUCUCCAAUGAGAAAUACGUAGAGACUGUUCAUUAUGCUUUUGGGUUUUCCUUACUUUAGUCCUGAGUCAAGUUAUAUCAACAGAAAGAAAUGUGUCGAGAGCUCAUAACCUAUUAUCUAUGAAAAACAAGUGACUUUUAUUCAUUAAGCUCUUAUGUGCCAAGAACUCAGCUAAAGUCGUUAUCUAUAUUACAUCCCAUUAAUUUUGCCUGGACUACAAAGGCAAAUUUUUUAAAAACUAUUUGAUUAUUUUAAAAAAUAAUACAUUUAUAGAAUUGCAGUUACAAAAUAAAGAAUCUUAGAAAUGAAAUGUACAGCAUGAGGAAUAUAAUCAAUAAAGUGUAAUAUCUUUAUAUGGUGACAGAUGGAAACUAGACUUAUUAUUUUGUAAUGUAUAGAAAUACU
RNAcentral lists this long non-coding RNA (3801 nucleotides) under Sus scrofa (pig). RNAcentral describes it as "lncRNA (ENSSSCG00015063368.1)". Lineage: Eukaryota; Metazoa; Chordata; Mammalia; Artiodactyla; Suidae. The record is from RNAcentral.